CCCUUAGAUGUUCUGGGCCGCACGCGCGCUACAAUGACAGAAUCAGCAAGUAUACCUUUGUCGACAGACAUGGGAAAUCUUAGAGUUUUUGUCGUGAUGGGGAUAGACCCUUGUAAUUGUUGGUCUCCAACGAGGAAUUCCUAGUAAACGCAAGUCAUUAACUUGCAUUGAUUACGUCCCUGCCCUUUGUACACACCGCCCGUCGCUACUACCGAUUGAAUGGCUUAGUGAGCCUUUGGGAUUGGCAGCUUGUACCGGCAACGGUAGCAGGCAGCCGAAAACUUAGGCAAACUUGGUCAUUUAGAGGAAGUAAAAGUCGUAACA
Molecule: ribosomal RNA, 324 nt
Filed under: uncultured eukaryote
Lineage: Eukaryota
Description: partial 18S ribosomal RNA
Rfam family: Eukaryotic small subunit ribosomal RNA
Source: RNAcentral